Long non-coding RNA from Gossypium arboreum, 246 nucleotides. RefSeq lists it as uncharacterized. The transcript is spliced from 2 exons. The record is from RefSeq and is a predicted model, not a curated record. NCBI's taxonomy places the organism in Eukaryota, Viridiplantae, Streptophyta, Magnoliopsida, Malvales, Malvaceae.
ACCAAAUCCGAACCUAGACCGGGGGAAAACCUAGCAAAUCGACUAAAUCGACUUGUUGCCAUAUUUUGUAAUCCGAGUGCCGCCUACCUAGCUCAAGGAUCAUUAGAAGUCAGAGAUAUCGAUCACACUAUCAAUCGAAGCAUUCGGUAUAGUUUGAUUUAUAUUUUUGAAUAUGGCAUGUAUAGGGAACUAGACUUGUGUUUUGUGUCAUUAUCAAUUUGGCCAAAUGUGUUGGCUUGGGAUAAA